Molecule: ribosomal RNA, 171 nt
Filed under: uncultured bacterium
Lineage: Bacteria
Description: partial 16S ribosomal RNA
Rfam family: Bacterial small subunit ribosomal RNA
Source: RNAcentral
CACGCUGUAAACGAUGGAAGCCAGCCGUUGGGCAGCAUGCUGUUCGGUGGCGCAGCUAACGCAUUAAGCUUCCCGCCUGGGGAGUNCAACGCGCAGAACCUUACCAGCUCUUGACAUGCCUGGACGCAAGCAGAGAUGUUUGUUUCCCUUCGGGGACCGGGACACAGGUGC